CUGAGAAUGGCCGAGUAUUAAGGUGAUAGAUUGUAGCUCUAUUUACGGAUUUUUCCUUCUUUGA
RNAcentral lists this transfer RNA (64 nucleotides) under Parborlasia corrugatus (corrugated ribbon worm). Its description in RNAcentral is "tRNA-Tyr". Lineage: Eukaryota; Metazoa; Nemertea; Pilidiophora; Heteronemertea; Lineidae. The record is from RNAcentral.